GCUCCGCCCACCGGCCCAGCCCCGCCCCUUCCCGCGCCCUGACCUGCGGGCGAGCCCCUCGCACCAGCCGGCCAGUCCCGGAGGAUCCCAUCUGCCCAGGGUGUCGGACAGAGGAACCCAUGCCCCUCCCAAUCACCCUCUCAGCAGCCCCAGCCUCCGGAAUUCUCUCAAUUGCUCAAAUGUAUGACCUCAGAUCUCCCAAGAUCCUCCUGCUUCGAAGGCCUCUAACAGGAAGCCUGGGGAAAACAAGCACAGAAGGGCAGAGGGAACGUGACCUAUCCCUGAAGAAGGGAAAAGACCGGACUCCAAGAUGACUCAGCGGCUGGACGGGAAAAGGCAUCUGCUGCCAAUUCUGACAACCUGAGUUCAAUCCCCGGAUCCCACCUGGUAGAAGCCGAAAACUGACUCCAGCAAUUUGUCCUGUGACUUCCACAGGGGGCCCCAAGAGCCUUCAUCCAGUAAUUGAUGGAACCAGAUGCAGAGAUCCACAACCAAGCACCAGGCCCAGCUCCAGGAAUCUAGUCGAAGAGAGGGAGGAGGGAAUAUAUGAGCAAGGGAAGUUAAAAUCAUGAUGGAGAAAUCUACAGAGACUGCUGAACCAAGCUUGUGGAUAUUCAUGAACUCUUGACCAAUAGCUGUGGAGACUCCAUGGAACUGAACUGAGCUAGGCCCUCUGCAUAUUGGAGACAGUUGUGAAGUUUGGGCUAUCUGAGUGCUGCCUGAUGGUAAGACCAAGAUCUAUCCCUGUGCAUGAGCUAGCUUGUUGGAGCCCAUUCCCUAUGAGGGGAUGCCAUGCUCAGCCUUAGUGCAGGGGGGAGGGGCUUGGUCCUGCCUCAACUUAAUGCGCUGAACUUUGUCGACUCCACAUGGGAGCCCUUACCUGUUCGGAGGAAUGGAAUGGGCUUGGGGGGAAGUAAGGGAGGCCGGAGGAGGGGUGGGAGGA
Cricetulus griseus (Chinese hamster) is the source of this 943-nucleotide non-coding RNA. NCBI's taxonomy places the organism in Eukaryota, Metazoa, Chordata, Mammalia, Rodentia, Cricetidae. The record is from RefSeq and is a predicted model, not a curated record.